Molecule: non-coding RNA, 73 nt
Organism: Bos taurus (domestic cattle)
Lineage: Eukaryota; Metazoa; Chordata; Mammalia; Artiodactyla; Bovidae
Source: Rfam
UCCCUUGUGGCUCAGAUGGUAAAGAAACUGCCUGUAAUGCAGGAGACCCAGGUUUGAUCCCUGGGUCAGGGAA